AUUUUAAUGAUAUUAAAUUAAACAUUAGGCCUUGAUUUAAUGUUUUUUUUUACUAAGCUUUUAAAAUGAAUUUUUUAGAAUAUUAAAAUAUCAAGAAAUGUCAUAUAUAACAAAAUAUAUCAAUAUAUCAUACAAAUAUAUAUUUUUUCAUUUUUCAAAAUGUUACAUUUUUGAAAAGAUAAUCCACAAAUACGAAAUUAGGGCUUCAGUUCUCAGCAACUACUGUAAAACAGCACAAGAACAUUGAAGUUAUAAAGACAAAAAACUUUAUUUAGCCAUGAAAGUGGCAUAUGCUUGUUUUUCAAACUUUUUUUUAAACCUUAUUUAUAUAUCGGCAAAUUCAGAAGAUUCACAUUUACUAACACCUAAAAAGAGAAUGAAGCAGAAAAAAGUAUUCUGCAAUUUUCUGCUUAUGUCAAAACUGAACCUGUGAGUGGGGUAAUAUUGCCACCUAGGGGAACAAAAGGGAAUUGCUAUAAACAAGCUGUUAGAAAAUAUACAUUUAUUCAUAUGAAGUUAAAUGGACCGAACUUUAACUGCAGUUAUAUCUCCAUGAUUUUACUUCUUUAUUCCAAAAAUGACAUAUUUAUAUACCAUUUUUAUCAUCUUGUUAAGCAAGUAGUCUGGUGUCUGAAAUACCAUUUGCAACAUUCAUUAAUAAUAUUUUUGAGAAACAUGUUUAAAGGAAUUAAAAUGUCUUUUUUUUCUCA
Non-coding RNA from Pelobates cultripes (western spadefoot toad), 710 nucleotides. Lineage: Eukaryota; Metazoa; Chordata; Amphibia; Anura; Pelobatidae. The record is from the annotation of a GenBank genome assembly.